AGCAGCCGCGGUAAUUCCAGCUCCAAUAGCGUAUAUUAAAGUUGUUGCAGUUAAAAAGCUCGUAGUUGAAUUUCGAGAUCAAUUUGUCGGUCGUGCCUCGGUACGUACUGGCAUUAUUGAUUUCUCCCUUCUGAAGAACCGCGAUGUCAUUAAUUUGGUGUCGUGGGGAAUCAGGACUGUUACUUUGAAAAAAUUAGAGUGUUUAAAGCAGGCGCACGCUUGAAUACAUUAGCAUGGAAUAAUGAAAUAGGACGUUUGAUUCUAUUUUGUUGGUUUCUAGGAUCGACGUAAUGAUUAAUAGGGAUAGUUGGGGGCAUUAGUAUUCAAUUGUCAGAGGUGAAAUUCUUGGAUUUAUUGGAUUUAUUGAAGACUAACUACUGCGAAAGCAUUUGCCAAGGAUGUUUUCAUUAAUCAAGAACGAAAGUUAGGGGAUCGAAGACGAUCAGAUACCGUCGUAGUCUUAACCAUAAACUAUGCCGACUAGGGAUCGGAUGAUGUUAAUUUUUAAUGACU
RNAcentral lists this ribosomal RNA (513 nucleotides) under uncultured Glomus. Its description in RNAcentral is "SSU rRNA". It matches the Rfam family "Eukaryotic small subunit ribosomal RNA", at positions 569 to 1076 of the family's 1831-position model. Lineage: Eukaryota; Fungi; Glomeromycota; Glomeromycetes; Glomerales; Glomeraceae. The record is from RNAcentral.